GACGAACGCUGGCGGCGUGCCUAAUACAUGCAAGUCGAGCGGAACUGGGGGAGCUUGCUCCUUCCAGUUUAGCGGCGGACGGGUGAGUAACACGUGGGCAACCUGCCCUGCAGAUCGGGAUAACUCCGGGAAACCGGUGCUAAUACCGAAUAGUUUGGCGCCUCUCCUGAGGCGCCACGGAAAGACGGUUUCGGCUGUCACUGCAGGAUGGGCCCGCGGCGCAUUAGCUAGUUGGUGGGGUAACGGCCCACCAAGGCGACGAUGCGUAGCCGACCUGAGAGGGUGACCGGCCACACGGGGACUGAGACACGGCCCAGACUCCUACGGGAGGCAGCAGUAGGGAUUCUUCCGCAAUGGACGCAAGUCUGACGGAGCAACGCCGCGUGAGUGACGAAGGUUUUCGGAUCGUAAAACUCUGUUGUGAGGGAAGAACACGUACCAACUAACUAUUGGUACCUUGACGGUACCUCACCAGAGAGCCACGGCUAACUACGUGCCAGCCGCCGCAGUAA
RNAcentral lists this ribosomal RNA (512 nucleotides) under uncultured bacterium. RNAcentral describes it as "partial 16S ribosomal RNA". It matches the Rfam family "Bacterial small subunit ribosomal RNA", at positions 28 to 523 of the family's 1533-position model. The record is from RNAcentral.